This is a long non-coding RNA of Puntigrus tetrazona (Sumatra barb), 4540 nucleotides long. RefSeq lists it as uncharacterized. The transcript has 4 exons. Lineage: Eukaryota; Metazoa; Chordata; Actinopteri; Cypriniformes; Cyprinidae. The record is from RefSeq and is a predicted model, not a curated record.
UUUAGUUCAGACUGUGGCUGAUUCGGGUCGCUCUCGUUGUGUUUUCAGAGGACGUCUUGUCGAAGGACGCAGGAGAAUGUGCAAUAUGUCUGGAGGAGCUGGUGCAGGGAGACACCAUCGCACGCCUGCCCUGCCUCUGCAUCUAUCACAAAGGCUGUAUUGACGAGUGGUUUGAAGUGAACCGGUCGUGUCCUGAGCAUCCGUCAGAUUAGCACGCCUCUCACACCUUUGCACAGCCUCCUGGUGGUGAGAAGCGGCGUGAUGUGAAUUCUCUUCCUCCUCAUAGACACUGUGACUCUGGUCUCGGGACGGCCCGCCCGCCCGCCGAACGCCCCUCACUUCUCGUAGCACGGCCAUAUAAGCCCUAGCGUGCCAAAACUCAUUCAGGGAAACUCUUUCCACGUCAGUCCGACAGAAAGCCCGGCUUCUGCUCCAGCUCACCAUCGUCCAAUCAGGUGAAGGCGGCGGAUCUUAGGAAGUUCGUUUCAUUGGCCGGACUCAGGGUCAGCUGACUGUGUGGAUAACUAGCGGACGACGGCUGGUAAAUGGUGUCUCUCAGUGCCUUAAUUUUCAGAUCCCACGGGCCGAAGCGAUGGACUCGGAGAAAGACGGCUGGACAUGACGGGACGUGAGCCCUGAUUCGGGUCGGCCCUGAGCCAUACUGACAAGUGCCCUGUCUUUCGUAACGGCCACGCAGCCGUUUUAUCUCUUUCGCUCUUUCUUCCCGGAUGGAGGAAUGUCCCAUGCAUCUGGAGUCUCGUAGCAAUAUCUGUGCUAACUGAUUAUGAAGAUUCACUGUAGCCUGUCACGUGACGUCCGCGCCGUCUCAAGAUCAUUUAUGCAAGUGCAUCGCGUUUUAUUUGUUUUGACGAAUCUGGGCCUUAAUUCAACACAUGACUGACUUUCUGUGUCUCUUUAUGUAGGUUGAAUAUUAUCAAAAUCAGAGGAGGGGGAAAAAAAAUACAAAAUGAUAUUUUGCAUUAAGAAAAUAAAGUGUUUAGGUGGAUUAUUAAUAAUGCAAUUAUUUUUUUAUUGAAAUCUGUGUAAUAUAAAUGGCAGCGCAACAAAUGCUGCCAUAAUUAGUUUAAUAAAUUGACAUUUAUUGUACUACUAAUAAUUUAUGCAGAUUUUGUAAUAAAAAAAUUACAUUAUAUUUAUAUAAAUUAAUAUAAUUGAAUAAAUGUACAACAAAAUUCCUACAAUUUUUCUUCUUCGGUAUAAGCAUUUGUGCACUUAUAUUAAUCAUACAGCCAUUAAAUGCUGAUUUUAAAUUUUUUUUAAUCAUUGUAUUGCAGUAAUAAAAAAAUAAUAAUAAUGAUUAAAAAACUCGCAAAACUCAAAGUAAAACUUUGUUAAAUCUGCAUAAUUUACAAAUACUACAAUAAUUAAUAUAUUAAUAUUUAAGCAAUGCCAACAAAAGUAAAAGUUAAUUUCUUGAGGGCCCUAAAAUGCACUUUUUCUUUAUGCAAAAUAUAAUUAUAAAAUGAUUGUAUUUUAUUUUAAGAUUUUGUGGUUAGCAGGUUUUGUGAGGCUUCACCCGUUCAGUGUUUUCUGGAAGCUGUAGAGUCAUGUGACGUGUCACGUGACGUCAUUUAGGGCUCCUUCACGUUUAAAAACAUUGUACCUGCAUCAAGAGUCAAACAUGACGACGUGUGAUCACCCAUCAGGCUAAAGGAUUCUCGUUUCACCUUCAAUCCAGGAAAUUAAUUCGCAGGAUUAAGAUUUGUCACAACGACACACAUUCUCUGUAGUAGUCAUACUGCUCUUAAUUUAUGCAGAUUUACAUAAAAAAAAAACCCGUUGUAUUCCAGUAAUAAACGCUGAAAAUAAUAUCUAAAUGCAUUACAGCACUGAUGCAAAAUGUGCAAGAUUUUUGCAAAGAUAUCGUCACAAAUCUUAAUGCUCCCCCCAAAAAAAAAAAUACACUUUCCUCAUGUAAAAUAUCAUUUCUUUUGCUAUUUGUGAUGAAAUGUGAUUCAGGCGAGUGAUUCACCUGAGGUUUGAUUCUCUUACGAUCUUUGGGGUUUUAUCAGCAGUUUAAUGUAAAUCAUAGAGCCAGAACGGUGUGUGUGUGUGUGUGUGUGUGUGUGUGUGUGUGUGUGUGUGUGUGUGUGUGUGUGUGAUCGUUAGCGUAAACCCUCUGGGUCACAUUUCAGCUGCUUUUCUCGACAUCCGCGUAAUUUUCUUUUGGGAGAAAGGUGGUCGUUCUCCAGUAGGGCUUGACGUUUCAGACGGACGCGCUGCUAACUAGUUACUAAUCACAGAUUUAGUUUUCGGUUAGAGAUCGUUCCCAGUCUCAAGUCAAAGCCUCACGCGGUUGAGUUCAUCUGAAGGCUUAGCUUCGGUCAGCUGUGUUGAAUUUGACCUGUGAUAGUCAACCUGGCAUAUCAAAGGUGCCAUAAUAGCUUUAAAAUGCUGCUAAUCAUGUAUGUCGACGGCCACAGCAGCUUUUCUGGUCACGCGAGAUGAUGUAUACCACGUGUCGCACCACUUUUUAACAAAAAGCCUUACCAGAUAUCAUUUAGGUAAAUAAUGAAUCCAUGUUUUGCUGCUUUUGUGCAAACUUCUGUUUCCAGCAGAUCUGAGCCCGAUGCAUCCGACCGGAUCCGUGAUUGUCAGUCAGAGCUUUCCAGACUCAACACUGGGUGUGGUUUCUGUUUAAUUUGCGGCCGAGCUCCAUCAGGUACCAACUAGUCCCUCACGUUAACUUCCUGAAGAGAUGCAAGCAGGAGCUGAAUCUCGACGUGAAGGGUUAACAGCGGCCACCAGGAGGAUCAUAAAGGGGUUUUUAAUGAUUUCGAGAUAUUGUAACAUUCCAUACAUGUAAAAAACAACUGUACAGAGAUAAUGAGAUUAAAAAAAAAGAUCUUUAUAUGCUUGUUUGGAUGUCCUUCUGUCUGAUUGUGAUUUUUAAUCAUCUUUAGUGCAGUGAAUGAACAAUUGAUUGAUAACAGCACCAUUAUGGAGCAAAUACAUGUGUAAAAUAUUUCAAAUCCUAAUAACACUUGAAGCCCUUGUGUAUAAUGCUUUAUAAGCACAUUCAUAAUGUGCAUUGUGAUGCAUUAUAUUAAUUGUACAAUAAUUGUAAGCAAAGUUAAAAUGCAUUCGAAUAUUAUGAAGCAUUCGUUGGUGGUUUUGCGUUUGAAUGCAUUUCACUUUAAGGCGUGACAAUAAUCGAAAAGUAUUGUAAUUAUGCUUGUAAUUGCGAGCCGUAGUUAAUGCAUUAAAAACAGCGAAUAAGAGUCUGAUACAGAGAGCCUACUUUCAUACCUGCGUGUAUUUUCAUUGCAUUUGUAUUAAAAACAACCAAAAAAACAUUAGGUAGGAAAAUGUAAGCUGUGAAUCAUGUGCCAUUAACAUCAACGUCAUCAUUUGUAUCGAUGCACACGGACAGAAACGCGUAUAGAGCGUUUCACUUUUUGCUUUUGAAUAAAGUUUUGUAGGUUUGACGUGUAAAAUAACUGGGUAACAGCUGUAAACCUUAAUAUUUUCACACAGAGGACAACUGUUACAAAAGGUGAAAAUAUGAAAACAUUUACUGAUGCUCGAGAACGCCGUGCAUUAAAAGAUGGGGGGUGUAAACUUCUGAACAGGACGAUGACUUGUAAAUUCUAAUUUUGCUUAACAAUCAUGUUUUUUCAUUUAGUACUGGACAUCAGAAGCUAUAUGAAUACUCUCAUGUUUCCCAGAAGACUAAAUAAGUGCAAUGUACCUCUGAUCUCGCUUAAAGAGUUGACCCCCAGCUCUUAAUGCAUCGUGUGGAGCAUGUUUUGUAAAAGUUAUGCAUGACUCCCUCAGUUGUCCCCGGAGUUAAAAGAUGACCUUCACAAUCAUAUGCGGAUGCUUUAAAACCAAAGGAUGUUCAGGAGCUGGAUCAACACAGGACUCCCUUCAAUAUCACACAUAGGUACAGUUCAAGGGUGUGUAAACUUUUGUGUGUUAUUUUUAUAAAUGGAGUUAUUUUGGCUUGCGUACGUGUAAACAUCUGCAACGUGAAACGGCUUGUUCAGGACAAUCCUACAUAUAAAAAACAUUUUUUAUGAGCCCUCUUGAUUUCUUUCAACCUUUUUACAGAAAGUGCAAAAUGUUAACUCAUGAGCAUAAGCUUCUGUUGUCAUCAUUUGGAUAAAACCAUCUGCUAAAUGUUGUUUUUUUUAACCUAGCUCUGUAUGGUUCUGGCAUGUUCAUGAGUACAGGAGCUCAGUAUCGGUGCAUCCCUAAAAAUGUUUUAAUUAUUACCAAAGAGUUUCAUCUAACUGGGUUUUGUUCUGGUGUGAAACCCCCGGCUGACCGUUUCGAAUCCAGCUGUGCUUCUGUUACUGAAGUAAACCGAUUGCUGUGACGUAACACCAACUUCCUCCUUUUCUCAGUCUUUUCUCAGAUCACGUGUUUUGCUGGUUCCUCUCAGUGGAAGCGAAGCCUCUUGUCGCCCUCGUAGAGUCGCUCUUCUUCUUCUGAGACGCUGCUUCCUUUAAUACUGUGAACGGACCAGGAAAUGUGAAACUUUAAACCCUGAUCACGUGAGAUGCAUGAGAAAAUC